This is a long non-coding RNA of Syngnathus typhle (broad-nosed pipefish), 1057 nucleotides long. RefSeq lists it as uncharacterized. The transcript is spliced from 4 exons. The record is from RefSeq and is a predicted model, not a curated record. NCBI's taxonomy places the organism in Eukaryota, Metazoa, Chordata, Actinopteri, Syngnathiformes, Syngnathidae.
GAUGUUCGGAGCCCCCGGGGCUCGUGGCAGGGCCUCGCCUCCAUGCGACUCUCAGGAAGCGGCGGGUCAUCGUUGUUUGACACGCCAGCGCCACAGGAAACGUGCUCUGGCACAGGAAAGAAAUACAAUACGGGGCUUUCACAAAGCAACAGCCCGCCUGGGAGCUGGACACGCUAAAAUACUCAAACAACCCGGCCGCUUUGGAACACGCCUGUCGUUAUACCCCAUGUGUGGUGUCGCAGUGGACGCAAGGGUGGCAGAUGUCUACUUUUUCCGCAAAUGGACGGAGAGUCAUCUUUGGUUAAGAGCCCCCAGUGAGGGUACACUUGAGAUGGACCCCAAAAUGGAGGCGUGUUUUAUCUGUUUACACUCCUUGCCAUUUCACCUUGUGGAGUGCUACUUUCAUGUCCCCCCUCCUUUGCACUUGGCUUUGAACCGUCAUGCAGGUUGUUGCUUUAUGUGGCAAAACAUCCACUGGCCACAAGUGCCAUGACCCCCCCCCCACUUGUGUGGAGAAGAAAAGAGGAUAGCUCAAAUGUAGGUUCUAUUUCUGCAUUUUUCCAAUCUGUUAAAGGAACCAUAUCAUGCUCAGAAAUUGUGUUAGCUGGGAGAUGUUUCACAUCUGCAAUGUCCAACUGACCAUCUAUGGGACAAAUUGUUUGAAAGAACGAACCCAGGUUAUUUUAAAUCUCAUUUGUCUUUCACGGCGUAUCGGCCGAAUAUGAACUCGGCAUUUUGAGCAGUGAUCAACUUCUCAUUUCACUUUCAGGGGGUGCGUUUGUUUUGUAUCAAAAGUAUACAAGCAAUGUGUGACGUUGAUACCUGAUCCCAACCAAUUUGAGGGAUUAGUGUUGUAUAUCAAAGCAAGAAGCCUAUCCGUGUUUGACCACAUGUUCCAACCAAAUGGGGGUGGCCAUUUUGCCACUUGCUGAUGACAUCACAGUUGCCCAGGAUCCCCGAGAUGCAAAUUACGGUUCCUGCCACCCCUGACGACCGGCAAUUACCGGGCCUCCGCAGCCAUCGCCGCCGAAGAGGAGGAGGAGGAGGAGGAGGAGGA